Molecule: ribosomal RNA, 477 nt
Filed under: uncultured bacterium
Lineage: Bacteria
Description: partial 16S ribosomal RNA
Rfam family: Bacterial small subunit ribosomal RNA
Source: RNAcentral
GAUGAACGCUGGCGGCGUGCCUAACACAUGCAAGUCGAACGAAGCGCCUUACCGGAUUCUUCGGAUGAAGGUCUGGUGACUGAGUGGCGGACGGGUGAGUAACGCGUGGGUAACCUGCCCUGUACAGGGGGAUAACAGCUGGAAACGGCUGCUAAUACCGCAUAAGCGCACGAGGAGACAUCUCCUUGUGUGAAAAACUCCGGUGGUACAGGAUGGGCCCGCGUCUGAUUAGCUGGUUGGCAGGGUAACGGCCUACCAAGGCAACGAUCAGUAGCCGGUCUGAGAGGAUGAACGGCCACAUUGGAACUGAGACACGGUCCAAACUCCUACGGGAGGCAGCAGUGGGGAAUAUUGCACAAUGGGGGAAACCCUGAUGCAGCAACGCCGCGUGAGUGAAGAAGUAUUUCGGUAUGUAAAGCUCUAUCAGCAGGGAAGAUAAUGACGGUACCUGACUAAGAAGCGCCGGCUAAAUACGUG